UACGUAGGGGGCGAGCGUUAUCCGGAUUCACUGGGUGUAAAGGGAGCGUAGACGGCCAUGCAAGCCAGGGGUGAAAGCCCGGGGCCCAACCCCGGGACUGCCCUUGGAACUGCAUGGCUGGAGUGCGGGAGGGGCAGGCGGAAUUCCUGGUGUAGCGGUGAAAUGCGUAGAUAUCAGGAGGAACACCGGCGGCGAAGGCGGCCUGCUGGACCGCGACUGACGUUGAGGCUCGAAAGCGUGGGGAGUGAACAGG
Molecule: ribosomal RNA, 253 nt
Filed under: uncultured bacterium
Lineage: Bacteria
Description: partial 16S ribosomal RNA
Rfam family: Bacterial small subunit ribosomal RNA
Source: RNAcentral